CCGGGAUAUGAUAGUUAAUUGGUUACGCCUAACAGUUUGGGUGCAAUGGGUCGUUGGGCUUUUGCUCACCUUCUUCUUUGUCUUGAUGAAGCAACGUGCAUUUGUUUUCUUUGACACACCAUUUUUCUUGGAGAUUAAUGGCAUGCUCAACCGACAAAAGCUAGUAAUCUCUUAGUUAUACUAGCAUGCAUAAUUAAUAAAAAAAAGGAAA
This 211-nucleotide long non-coding RNA is filed under the name Elaeis guineensis (African oil palm). RNAcentral describes it as "long non-coding RNA (EGUI_LNC007747)". Lineage: Eukaryota; Viridiplantae; Streptophyta; Magnoliopsida; Arecales; Arecaceae. The record is from RNAcentral.